UACCUGUGGACAAGUGACCUGCCACACUGCU
Molecule: non-coding RNA, 31 nt
Filed under: Homo sapiens (human)
Lineage: Eukaryota; Metazoa; Chordata; Mammalia; Primates; Hominidae
Source: RNAcentral